AGGUGAAAAACAGGUCCAGAUGAUGAGAAAAUUGCAGACGAUUGCUAGAGAAAAUUGAUGACAUCUGGUUGUAGCUGACGGGUUUUAAGAGAUCUAAGCCUAAAACCUUCGAAAAUGGUUUUAGGAAAAUUGGUGUGUUUCUUGGCUGGCGUAUACGGUGGAAUUUAUAUUGAUCAGCACUACAAAAUGCCAAAGGUUGAUGACCCUGGUGAAGUUUGGAAGAAAAUAAAAGAUGUAUUGGAGGAAUACAAGAAAGAAGGACCAUCAUAAUGAGACCAAUGGAACAUGUGUUACUAGAACAGAUAGGUUACAGUAUACAUAAAACAUUUGUAUAUUUUGUACAUAAAUGUAUAUGUGUUAUGUGACUGCUAGCUACAUGUAUUAUCAAAUAAGCUAGAAUGGAAUGUGCAGAUAUGAUUUGUGUGAAAAUUGUGAUGUAAAUCAGUCACAUAUUUAAUAACUUACUAUUACAUGUACAUGAACAUUUUUUGCAGCAUGUUUUGUACGUCUUUAUUCUGAUAGAGAGGAAUUUAUGGCUACGUAGAGGUGAUAAAGAUUACAGUUAUUGAUAGAUGCCCUUAGAUAUAAAGGUUUGUUUAAUACCAUGGAUUUAUGUAUGACUGUUUCUCUAAGAGUUACUGGCUCCUAAACUUGUAGAGUUUAUAUGUAUGUUUGAAUUUGCCUGGGGCAAGAGCAACACAAGAAUAUGUGCACAAAAAUCAGGUAACAGAAAAUUACAGCACUCAGUACAUGUAAAGUUACUAGUAAUAUGCUCGAUGAUUGAAGUUUAGAUUGUUCAGAAACAAGUUGGUGCAAGUUUGUCUAUCUAUCAGUGAUGGGUAUCUUUGGUAUGACAUGCAGAAUUCAUUGGUAAUGGGAUUGUUGCUGGGAUUAAUAGGUAAAGUACAAAUUACUUGAAUACAGCUGUGACCAAUUUCACAAUCAUUGUAUGUAUGUUCUAAACUAACCUUUAAUAAAUGCAUCUAACAGUUUCAAGAUAUAAAAGGUAUGAAGGUUAUUUUGUUAUGAAACAAAGAACAAUAAAAUACUAUAUUAAUGA
Liolophura sinensis is the source of this 1060-nucleotide long non-coding RNA. RefSeq lists it as uncharacterized. Lineage: Eukaryota; Metazoa; Mollusca; Polyplacophora; Chitonida; Chitonidae. The record is from RefSeq and is a predicted model, not a curated record. The transcript is spliced from 3 exons.